This 550-nucleotide long non-coding RNA is filed under the name Erythranthe guttata (spotted monkey flower). RNAcentral's name for it is "long non-coding RNA (EGUT_LNC003648)". Lineage: Eukaryota; Viridiplantae; Streptophyta; Magnoliopsida; Lamiales; Phrymaceae. The record is from RNAcentral.
GGAUUUUCAUAUGUUCAUUACCACAUUUUCAAGAAUAAAAAAAAUGGCUCCACUUGUAGUUGUGUACUCCUCUCCAAAGAAGAUAUUUUUUCUACAUCUAAUCUUCUUCACUUCAAUAUUCAUUUCUUCUGCCAAUCAAAACCAACAACAACCACAAAAAAAUUAAGAAUGUUGUUAGAUUUAGAAGAUGAUGGUGAAAGUAAUCAGCCAAUCACUAUCAAGAAAAAAAACCCACUUCUUCUUCUUCUUCAAUAGUAAAAUAAGCUUUUCAACCAAGAACAAAACCAAAUUCAUUAAGCCCACUGCAACUCCAUCAAAAAAUCAAAAAAAGCUAAUCAAAACCACCAUUAAUGGCGGACUCAAGAACCAGGCUAAGCAGAUUAAGCUCCCAUCUUAUUCAUCAUCCAAAAACAAGACCACAAGUUUAUUAGACUCAACCACCAUUAUUAAAACACCACUCAAGAAACUCAAUUACACUUCAAAGAAAACAUCCUCGAACUCCACAAACACCAAAAAUUCCUCCGAUCUACCAUCCAACAACACAACAGCA